Molecule: long non-coding RNA, 1494 nt
Organism: Homo sapiens (human)
Lineage: Eukaryota; Metazoa; Chordata; Mammalia; Primates; Hominidae
Exons: 5
Source: RefSeq, a predicted model, not a curated record
GUGAUUCUCAUGCUUCAGCCUCCUGAGUAGCUGGGACUACAGUGGAAUGGAAUCAAAUGGGCAUCUUGAGAGCAGGAAACCUCCUUGUUGCCAUUGUAUCCCUAGAGCCUCACAUAGGCUUCAGGACCAACUCUCUCCAUACGUGUCUGACCAUAAAACAGGGUUUUUGUGAUGUGAGACAUUCAAGUUUUACGUUCAAAUGUCAUGAAAGAAAAUGCAACUUGUUACAGUCACAUGGAUAGGAAUGAAGGACAAUUUAACCUCAGCUAAACUGAAGAAUCUUGAAAACAUUUGAGGUUUUUAUAUACAGUAUUGUGUAUAUGUGGGCCUGUUUAAUGAUCCAUUAAGCAACUCAUUUCCUCUCUUAUUCCUCCACCCAGCUCCUGAGAACUGCCAAGUUUCCCUAUUAUCACUUUCUGUUAAAUCCAUCCUCUUGCCUCCCAUCCCUUUUCAGGCCCUCAGUAUCCUUCACUUGCUCUGAAAUGCUCCUGCAGUGGCUCUUGGAUGUCAGUCUUACCUUCUGGAAUCCAGGCUCCACACUGGUACCAGAUGAGUAACUCCGAAAUGCCAUUGACCUUGUCCCUGCUCUGCCACCCAGUCCUUCAAUACCACCUCUUGUCUACACCAUGCAGUUCUCUACUUGGAACAUAAGGCCCAAUAACCUGGUGUUGGGCUCUGAACACUUUGACAUGCUGAGUAAUUUAAACUGAAGGAGACUGGAAGGUCUCAGAAGGCGGGGCUCUCUGACCUCUCCCAUCCUUCGGUUUUCCACCAGUCUUUCUCCUCUGAGGUGAUUCACAGAAACCAGAAUUCCUCUUCCCCAAGGUGGGUCAUAGAAACUAGAAUCCCUUUCCCCCAAAGCAAGCCAUAAAACCUAGAAAGGCCACUCCCUUUUCCUUCUCCCUUCUUCCUUGGAGACCCUCAUUUCAGAGGGGUCCUGCCCCAUCCCCAGGAGGAAAAAAUGCUACACAGGCCAAGAAAAAUCUGAACAGACAGGCCUUUCUGGAUUUCCCUCCCCUGCCCCAACCUCUGUUAUUACCAUUAGAUCACACUCUUUUUGUCUAAUCAUAUUCCUACAUGGCUAGCCAUUCUUCAGUGAACCUAUGCAUUAAACUAGUUUUCCCUGGGUCAUUGGGUCUUUAUUUCUGAAGACCCCUAUAUCAUGUAAAACUUUGAUUAAAUAAACGUGUUAUGGUUUUCUCUUGUUAACCUGUCUUCUGUUAUAGGAGUGUUGACCAUGAUCCUUAUAACAGGUGAGGAAAGAUGUCACCUUUCUGCCCCCUAUAGUUUCUGGCACCCAAAGUAGGGGUGGCUGAGACACCUAAUUUGCUCUGGAACCUGCAGAAUAGAUCCUGGGACAACUGACAAACAGCCGGCAAAGAAAAGCUCCUGUCUCCUCCAUUUGUUGAUCGGUGGAUGGAAAAUUACUAAAAGGAAACAUCAGAGUAGGCAAGAAGAACCUGAUGGGUGAUUACAAAAGGAGGAGGAAUUCUG